RNAcentral lists this ribosomal RNA (2924 nucleotides) under Escherichia coli. Its description in RNAcentral is "partial 23S ribosomal RNA". It matches the Rfam family "Bacterial large subunit ribosomal RNA". The record is from RNAcentral. Lineage: Bacteria; Pseudomonadati; Pseudomonadota; Gammaproteobacteria; Enterobacterales; Enterobacteriaceae.
GGGUUGUGAGGUUAAGCGACUAAGCGUACACGGUGGAUGCCCUGGCAGUCAGAGGCGAUGAAGGACGUGCUAAUCUGCGAUAAGCGUCGGUAAGGUGAUAUGAACCGUUAUAACCGGCGAUUUCCGAAUGGGGAAACCCAGUGUGUUUCGACACACUAUCAUUAACUGAAUCCAUAGGUUAAUGAGGCGAACCGGGGGAACUGAAACAUCUAAGUACCCCGAGGAAAAGAAAUCAACCGAGAUUCCCCCAGUAGCGGCGAGCGAACGGGGAGCAGCCCAGAGCCUGAAUCAGUGUGUGUGUUAGUGGAAGCGUCUGGAAAGGCGCGCGAUACAGGGUGACAGCCCCGUACACAAAAAUGCACAUGCUGUGAGCUCGAUGAGUAGGGCGGGACACGUGGUAUCCUGUCUGAAUAUGGGGGGACCAUCCUCCAAGGCUAAAUACUCCUGACUGACCGAUAGUGAACCAGUACCGUGAGGGAAAGGCGAAAAGAACCCCGGCGAGGGGAGUGAAAAAGAACCUGAAACCGUGUACGUACAAGCAGUGGGAGCACGCUUAGGCGUGUGACUGCGUACCUUUUGUAUAAUGGGUCAGCGACUUAUAUUCUGUAGCAAGGUUAACCGAAUAGGGGAGCCGAAGGGAAACCGAGUCUUAACUGGGCGUUAAGUUGCAGGGUAUAGACCCGAAACCCGGUGAUCUAGCCAUGGGCAGGUUGAAGGUUGGGUAACACUAACUGGAGGACCGAACCGACUAAUGUUGAAAAAUUAGCGGAUGACUUGUGGCUGGGGGUGAAAGGCCAAUCAAACCGGGAGAUAGCUGGUUCUCCCCGAAAGCUAUUUAGGUAGCGCCUCGUGAAUUCAUCUCCGGGGGUAGAGCACUGUUUCGGCAAGGGGGUCAUCCCGACUUACCAACCCGAUGCAAACUGCGAAUACCGGAGAAUGUUAUCACGGGAGACACACGGCGGGUGCUAACGUCCGUCGUGAAGAGGGAAACAACCCAGACCGCCAGCUAAGGUCCCAAAGUCAUGGUUAAGUGGGAAACGAUGUGGGAAGGCCCAGACAGCCAGGAUGUUGGCUUAGAAGCAGCCAUCAUUUAAAGAAAGCGUAAUAGCUCACUGGUCGAGUCGGCCUGCGCGGAAGAUGUAACGGGGCUAAACCAUGCACCGAAGCUGCGGCAGCGACACUAUGUGUUGUUGGGUAGGGGAGCGUUCUGUAAGCCUGUGAAGGUGUGCUGUGAGGCAUGCUGGAGGUAUCAGAAGUGCGAAUGCUGACAUAAGUAACGAUAAAGCGGGUGAAAAGCCCGCUCGCCGGAAGACCAAGGGUUCCUGUCCAACGUUAAUCGGGGCAGGGUGAGUCGACCCCUAAGGCGAGGCCGAAAGGCGUAGUCGAUGGGAAACAGGUUAAUAUUCCUGUACUUGGUGUUACUGCGAAGGGGGGACGGAGAAGGCUAUGUUGGCCGGGCGACGGUUGUCCCGGUUUAAGCGUGUAGGCUGGUUUUCCAGGCAAAUCCGGAAAAUCAAGGCUGAGGCGUGAUGACGAGGCACUACGGUGCUGAAGCAACAAAUGCCCUGCUUCCAGGAAAAGCCUCUAAGCAUCAGGUAACAUCAAAUCGUACCCCAAACCGACACAGGUGGUCAGGUAGAGAAUACCAAGGCGCUUGAGAGAACUCGGGUGAAGGAACUAGGCAAAAUGGUGCCGUAACUUCGGGAGAAGGCACGCUGAUAUGUAGGUGAAGUCCCUCGCGGAUGGAGCUGAAAUCAGUCGAAGAUACCAGCUGGCUGCAACUGUUUAUUAAAAACACAGCACUGUGCAAACACGAAAGUGGACGUAUACGGUGUGACGCCUGCCCGGUGCCGGAAGGUUAAUUGAUGGGGUUAGCGCAAGCGAAGCUCUUGAUCGAAGCCCCGGUAAACGGCGGCCGUAACUAUAACGGUCCUAAGGUAGCGAAAUUCCUUGUCGGGUAAGUUCCGACCUGCACGAAUGGCGUAAUGAUGGCCAGGCUGUCUCCACCCGAGACUCAGUGAAAUUGAACUCGCUGUGAAGAUGCAGUGUACCCGCGGCAAGACGGAAAGACCCCGUGAACCUUUACUAUAGCUUGACACUGAACAUUGAGCCUUGAUGUGUAGGAUAGGUGGGAGGCUUUGAAGUGUGGACGCCAGUCUGCAUGGAGCCGACCUUGAAAUACCACCCUUUAAUGUUUGAUGUUCUAACGUGGACCCGUAAUCCGGGUUGCGGACAGUGUCUGGUGGGUAGUUUGACUGGGGCGGUCUCCUCCUAAAGAGUAACGGAGGAGCACGAAGGUUGGCUAAUCCUGGUCGGACAUCAGGAGGUUAGUGCAAUGGCAUAAGCCAGCUUGACUGCGAGCGUGACGGCGCGAGCAGGUGCGAAAGCAGGUCAUAGUGAUCCGGUGGUUCUGAAUGGAAGGGCCAUCGCUCAACGGAUAAAAGGUACUCCGGGGAUAACAGGCUGAUACCGCCCAAGAGUUCAUAUCGACGGCGGUGUUUGGCACCUCGAUGUCGGCUCAUCACAUCCUGGGGCUGAAGUAGGUCCCAAGGGUAUGGCUGUUCGCCAUUUAAAGUGGUACGCGAGCUGGGUUUAGAACGUCGUGAGACAGUUCGGUCCCUAUCUGCCGUGGGCGCUGGAGAACUGAGGGGGGCUGCUCCUAGUACGAGAGGACCGGAGUGGACGCAUCACUGGUGUUCGGGUUGUCAUGCCAAUGGCACUGCCCGGUAGCUAAAUGCGGAAGAGAUAAGUGCUGAAAGCAUCUAAGCACGAAACUUGCCCCGAGAUGAGUUCUCCCUGACUCCUUGAGAGUCCUGAAGGAACGUUGAAGACGACGACGUUGAUAGGCCGGGUGUGUAAGCGCAGCGAUGCGUUGAGCUAACCGGUACUAAUGAACCGUGAGGCUUAACCUUACAACGCCGAAG